UACGGGGGGGGCAAGCGUUGUUCGGAAUUACUGGGCGUAAAGGGCUCGUAGGCGGCCAACUAAGUCCGACGUGAAAUCCCCAGGCUUAACCUGGGAACUGCGUCGGAUACUGGAUGGCUUGAAUCCGGGAGAGGGAUGCAGAAUUCCAGGUGUAGCGGUGAAAUGCGUAGAUAUCUGGAGGAACACCGGCGGCGAAAGCGCGAGACUGGGCCAUAACUGACGCUGAGGAACGAAAGCCAGGGGAGCGAAAGGG
Molecule: ribosomal RNA, 253 nt
Filed under: uncultured bacterium
Lineage: Bacteria
Description: partial 16S ribosomal RNA
Rfam family: Bacterial small subunit ribosomal RNA
Source: RNAcentral